This 73-nucleotide transfer RNA is filed under the name Caudoviricetes sp. Its description in RNAcentral is "tRNA-Ala". It matches the Rfam family "tRNA". From Rfam's summary of the family: Transfer RNA (tRNA) molecules are approximately 80 nucleotides in length. Their secondary structure includes four short double-helical elements and three loops (D, anti-codon, and T loops). Further hydrogen bonds mediate the characteristic L-shaped molecular structure. tRNAs have two regions of fundamental functional importance: the anti-codon, which is responsible for specific mRNA codon recognition, and the 3' end, to which the tRNAs corresponding amino acid is attached (by aminoacyl-tRNA synthetases). tRNAs cope with the degeneracy of the genetic code in two manners: having more than one tRNA (with a specific anti-codon) for a particular amino acid; and 'wobble' base-pairing, i.e. permitting non-standard base-pairing at the 3rd anti-codon position. The record is from RNAcentral. Lineage: Duplodnaviria; Heunggongvirae; Uroviricota; Caudoviricetes.
GGGGCAUUAGCUCAUCUGGGAGAGCAUUACACUUGCAAUGUAAAGGUGAAGGGUUCAAGUCCCUUAUGCUCCA